CCUACGGGAGGCUGCAGUGAGGAAUAUUGGUCAAUGGACGAGAGUCUGAACCAGCCAAGUCGCGUGAAGGAUGACUGCCCUAUGGGUUGUAAACCUCUUUUAUCUGGGAAUAAAGUGCUUCACGUGUGGCAUUUUGCAUGUACCUUAUGAAUAAGCAUCGGCUAACUCCGUGCCAGCAGCCGCGGUAAUACGGAGGAUCCGAGCGUUAUCCGGAUUUAUUGGGUUUAAAGGGGGCGCAGGUGGAUUGUUAAGUCAGGUGUGAAAGUUUGCGGCUCAACCCUAGAAUUGCAGUUGAAACUGGCAGUCUUGAGUGCAGUAGAGGUGGGCGGAAUGCGUGGUGUAGCGGUGAAAUGCUUAGAUAUCACGAAGAACUCCGAUUGCGAAGGCAGUUCACUGGAGUGCAACUGACACUGAGGCUCGAAAGUGUGGGUAUCAAACAGGAUUAGAUACCCUAGUAGUC
Molecule: ribosomal RNA, 460 nt
Filed under: uncultured bacterium
Lineage: Bacteria
Description: partial 16S ribosomal RNA
Rfam family: Bacterial small subunit ribosomal RNA
Source: RNAcentral